UACGAAGGGGGCUAGCGUUGUUCGGAAUCACUGGGCGUAAAGCGCACGUAGGCGGACUUUCAAGUCAGGGGUGAAAUCCCGGGGCUCAACCUCGGAAUUGCCUUUGAUACUGUAGGUCUCGAGUCCGGAAGAGGUGGGUGGAAUUCCUAGUGUAGAGGUGAAAUUCGUAGAUAUUAGGAAGAACACCAGUGGCGAAGGCGGCUCACUGGUCCGGUACUGACGCUGAGGUGCGAAAGCGUGGGGAGCAAACAGG
This 253-nucleotide ribosomal RNA is filed under the name uncultured bacterium. RNAcentral's name for it is "partial 16S ribosomal RNA". It matches the Rfam family "Bacterial small subunit ribosomal RNA", at positions 524 to 776 of the family's 1533-position model. The record is from RNAcentral.